This is a long non-coding RNA of Dromaius novaehollandiae (emu), 3214 nucleotides long. RefSeq lists it as uncharacterized. NCBI's taxonomy places the organism in Eukaryota, Metazoa, Chordata, Aves, Casuariiformes, Dromaiidae. The transcript has 3 exons. The record is from RefSeq and is a predicted model, not a curated record.
UGUCACUGACUCAAAAUAGGGCUUACAUCACAGGUGCUGCGAGAGCCAUGGUGCUGGAUGGCUGUGCCUGUACGCUCCUCACUUCACACUCAGGGCCUGACAUUUGUUGUUUCCUGAGGCCUGAUGGCCAGUAUAAAACCAAUUGGUAGUGGUUGUCUGCUCUUCUGUGCCCUUCUUGUCUCUGCCUUCUCCUCUGAUACCAGCUUCUUGCUUUGUUUCACUCUUUAUCUCUUCAUCCUGGUGACUUCAUCUCCAGCUCAACCUCCGCCACCUGGUGUCUUUUUAUUUUACUUUGAAUGGAAUCUCCCAAGCUCUUGUAUCAAAAUGUGUUAAAAGCUGAUUUGUCAUCAGGCAUAAAGGCAGUGCCCUUCAAGGUGAAUCAUUUGACUUGAUCUGAUCCUUAAUGAGAAGUGUCUUCAGGCCAUUCCUGGUCUAUGCUUGUGUUCAUUAAGAAAGAAUGUGCUUCAGUGUUCAAAGUCUGUUAAAAUAACUAAACACACCUAGAUCUGUAUGUGCAUGAUGCAGCUUUGUAUUCCAGGUGCAGCUUUGUAAAUAAUUAAACUUAUGUAUGCUCUGUACUUCAGUAACAUCCUUCCUUUCAGCUCUGAAAUGUGUUACAAGCAAUUGAGCCCAGCAGUAUCUUGGGCAGAUGCAUAGUUAUGGAAAGGCUUAAGCCAACAUCCUCAAAUCUAACUGAAGUCCAUGGAAAGAUUAGAUUCUCAGCUCCUCCGAAAAUUAGGUCUUGAGUAUGACGAAUGGCACUCAGAAGUAUGGUAUUCUUCAGAAACACUGACCCGUGUGACAUGUACGAGGACAAGCAGAAAGUUGUUGGUAGGGCAGGGCACAGCACUGUAUUAACCCUGUGUCAGGUCUGUGUGUUGCCCUGGGUGGCACGAGGGAGCGGCCAACAAUUCUGAGAUUUAUAAAAGCAGUUAUUUUAAGUGUGGUUAUCAUACCUGCUGUAAGAGGUGUGGGGUAUGCUGAAUCCAGAGCUCCAUUUCUUUGCUAGGUGACUCAAGGAGAAGCCUUGCCUGAGCAUUGGCGUGCACCCUGUGCUGCUACAUAUGUCUGUGGCUGAACCCACCCAAGGGAAAGCCAGAUCUGACUGUGAUUUCUUGACUGACAUUGCAUACCCUUCUUUGUGUGCACUUACAGCAUGGCUCUGCGUAGAACCAGGCUGGCUGGACUUACCACUUAGGAUCAACUCCCACUUUUAGCAGCAGAUUACAUGUUAACCUUUGUGCUGUGCUCCAGGGGAAGAAGGAAUUAUAAUGUCUCCGCUCAGGAAGAUAAAGUAAACUUAGCAGGGAUGUUCUGUGAUUACUCAGCCUUGCAGUCUGAUUGUCUUAUGCUGAGAGCUUGUAUGGGGAGCAAAGAGGCUGUAGGAAUGUCUUUAGUAAUCUUAAAAAAAACAUAGUCUAGGUUUGUCAUUGCCCUGUGAUGAGUGUUUCAUUAAUACAUAAUCGAUUUUCAGCCCUUGGAAAAUUUGCUUAAUAUGAACUGACAGUUCUCCUUUGAAAAGUAAUCAACCUGCCUCAUCCCUGAAUUAUCUGGUAUUUUAGGCUGGAUCUGCAGACCCAGGCAGCUCAGCCCUCCUUAUGCUUUAAGUACAGGGAGAAAUUUCACCUUGCUCAAGGAGAUAGUGUAUAGUGGGGUAUCUGGCUCCUCACCUGGUGUUGUGUGUGCAGUGGCCAGUUGCAAGAGCUAAUCAGGAAGGGAUAAUCUAGUCUGACAGCACAGGAGAAGGAGGCACUGAUCUCAUGCUGGCUGGCAGAACAGCGUACAUGGUACCGUCAUCACAUCUCCUACUUGAUUAGUCUGGGCAGGCCUUGGAUCUGAACAUGAAGGAUGGAUGCAUUUUUUUCUGAAGGAUUUCUGCAGUCAUCAAUUGAGGAUUUGGCCUGGUUCUCAAAUGAAUGCUUGCUCUUGGGACUAAAUCUCUGCUUCCUGGAUGAUUCACUUACCAUCAGCAUUGCCACUGACAACUCAGAAGCUAUCUGUAGCAGAGGGUAAAUAGUUGAAAAGUAAGACUAUACAAAAUACCUGUAAAAAACCAAGUGGGCAGGAUUAUUUCAGGACUUGGGCAAAGCUUCAGAACUUUUGCUAUUUAUUCAAGAAAGCAGGGACUGAUAGUUCUGUCUGUUUUGUGUGAAAUUAGUUAAUGAGUCUCAGAUAGCAAUUAGUAGCUUGUCACAUCAACAACAAAAAGAGAGAGUAAUAAUCACUGUUGAUAGAGUUAGCAAGAAGACCAAGGCUUGGAUGGAUGGUGAAGUGUGAUUCUGUGUUUUCCUCUUUUCAGGCCAAGUUGGAAGCAUAUUGGUAGGGUAUAAUGGGCAAAACUCUCACCAGACAGUGCGUCUCUCUGAUGCUUGCCCACCGCUUACAUGUUUCUUCAGAAACAUGGAUGCGGAAACAGGAUAGCUCUUCCCAAAUGCCAGCCUGGUAAUGCCCCUCUGAUAUACAGCAAUGUUCUUUGGAAAGUGGCCAGUGAUUCCUUCUUAUUUUACAUUUCCAUUUUUAUAAUGAAAACUUAGUUAGAGAAAUUUAAUUUGCAGACAGCCCCAGCAUGCUACCUAAAAAUACACUUAGAAAUGAAUAUUGGACAGCUCAAGCACAGCAACAGGAAAACAUCCAGCUGAAGGACUUGAUUUUGCGGCUAUUUGUAUCUCCUGAUGGCUUCUCUGCUUUAGGGGGAGUAGUGGGGAGGGAAAGGAGAGUUAAAUGGAACUUAAAACAUCACUUUACAUCUAUUUCUUCUCUUCAUCUGUGCUGCCCUGUUAGAUUACUGUAUCUUUGCUCUAGGGGCUAUUUUCUAGCCAAGUCAGUGUCUGGCCCAGGUAGGAAUUUCUAGGCGCUACUGUCAUAAAUAUGUCCCGGAAGAAAGAUACAGAAGAGGCCAAUCAUUUGAGCUUUAUACAUCCUUAAUUUAGAUAUUAUGACUGUUUCAGAGUUCUAAUUUCUUUUCACUGUGGGAAUUACACUACGUCUGUUCAUUUAUUCCAUGUAAGAUGCAAAUGGUCAUCAGAGAAAACCAUUUUUAGCAUGCACAAAUUCUUGCUUUGGCAUUUUUUGCUGUAGCACCUCCCAGUGUGGUCUGAGUUAUAGCGAUGACCUGGAAGUGAGAAACUCCUUAUAACUCUUUUAUGCCUUCUACCUAUUCCUUAGUUCCCUAGCAACAAUGGCUCUUUUUUCUAAUAAAAAUCUCUCACAAUUA